Molecule: long non-coding RNA, 4041 nt
Filed under: Sus scrofa (pig)
Lineage: Eukaryota; Metazoa; Chordata; Mammalia; Artiodactyla; Suidae
Description: lncRNA (ENSSSCG00050073744.1)
Source: RNAcentral
GGGCGGUCGGUUGUCAGCGCCGAGGAGAGGGAGUAAACUGAGGCCUGUAAUCUAGAAACAUUUUGAGAAAAGGGUGAUAAACUGUAGCCCCGCCCUCAAGAAGGCAUUUAGUGGAGGAAAACAGCCACAGACAACUGCAUUUCAGAACAACUGUUAGGUGACCGAUUGAGAAAAGUGACACAAACAUUGGGAAGAACCUGCUCUUCUAAACGAAGAGGGGUGGAAAAUGUCACACGUUACAACCUCUUAUUCCUAUGAUGCACCAAUGGACUUUAUCAAUUUUACAUCUUUGGAUGAUGAGGAAGAUACCCAAAACAUAGAUUCCUGGUUUGAGGAGAAGGCCAAUCUGGAGAAUAAAUUUCCUGGAAAGAUUGGUACAGGAGGGCUUUUUCAGGACAAAACUCCUCUGAGAAAGGCUAAUCUUCAGCAAGAUUUCACACCUUUGAGACCAGUUGACAACACAUAUAACAAAGAGGCAGAAAAAGAAAAUCUGGUGGACGAGUCCAUUUCAUCAAAUACUUAUUCUUCCAUAAAAAUUAAAGAAACCACAUCAAGAAAUAUUCCAGCUCAGCCUCAGAGAAGAUCUCUUAGACUCUCUGCUCAGAAGAAUUUGGUACAGAAAGAAAAACAUCAUGUAAAAAUGAAAGCCAAGAGAUGUGCUACUCCUGUAAUUAUCAAUGAAAUUCCACCCUCCAAAAAAAUGAAAGUUUCUAACAAUAAAAUGAAGCCAGAGGAAGAGGAAGAAGGCAGUGCUCAUCAAGAUAUUUCUGAAAAGAAUGAGUGUUCCCCAGAGAAAGCCAAGGGCAGACGCACUGGGCCUUGUAUCCCACCUAUAAGGCAGAAGGUUCUAAAAAGUACUGAGGAGCAAGAAUUGGAGAAGAGAAUGAAAAUGCAGCAAGAAGUGAUAGAGAUGCGGAAAAAGAAUGAAGAAUUCAAGAAAUUUGCUCUUGCAGGAGCAGGGCUCCCUGUGAAGAAAUCAGUGACCCAGGUAACCAAAUCAGUUGACUUCCACUUCCGCACAGAUGAGCGAAUCAAACAACAUCCUAAGAACCAGGAGGAGUAUAAGGAAGUGAACUUUACAUCGGAACUGCGAAAGCAUCCUCCCUCUCCUGCUCGAGUGUCAAAGGGAUGCACCAUUGUUAUGCCUUUCAACCUGUCCAAAGGAAAGAAAAGAACAUUUGAUGAGACAGCUUCUACGUAUGUUCCCCUUGCACAGCAGGUCGAAGCCUUUCAUAAGCGAACCCCUAACAGAUACCACUUGAGGAGCAAGAAGGAUGAUAGUACUCUGCUACCCUCCAAAUCUGUGGCCAAGAUAUGCAGAGACCCACAGACUCCUGUGCUACAAACCAAACAUCGUGCAAGGCCUGUGACCUGCAAAAGUACAGCGGAUCAGGAGGCCGAGGAGCUUGAGAAACUGCAGCAAUACAAAUUCAAAGCACAGGAACUUGAUCCCAGAAUUCUUGAAGGUGGGCCCAUCUUGCCCAAGAAACCACCUGUGAAGCCACCCACUCAGCCUAUUGGCUUUGAUUUGGAAAUUGAGAAAAGGAUCCAGGAGCGAGAGUCAAAGAAGAAAUCUGAGGAUGAACACUUUGAAUUUCAUUCCAGGCCUUGCCCUACUAAGAUCUUGGAAGAUGUUGUGGGUGUUCCUGAAAAGAAAGUACUUCCAGUCACUGUCCCCAAGUCACCAGCCUUUACUCUGAAGAACAGAAUCCGAAUGCCCUUCAAAGAAGAUGAGGAAGAGGAGGAGCCAGUAGUGAUAAGAGCUCAACCUGUGCCAUAUUUUGGAAUGCCUUUUAAGCCCCAAAUUCCAGUGGGGAGAACUGUGGAAAUAUGCCCCUUCUCUUUUGAUUCUCGAGACAAAAAACGUCAGUUACAGAAGGAGAAGAAAAUAAAAGAACUGCAGAAAGGGGAGGUGCCUAAGUUCAAGGCACUACCUUUGCCUCAUUUUGACACCGUUAACCUGCCAGAGAAGAAGGUGAAGAAUACAACCCAGGUUGAGCCUUUCUGCUUGGAGACUGACAGAAGAGGUGCUCUGAAGGCACAAACUUGGAAGCACCAGCUGGAGGAAGAACUAAAACAGCAGAAAGAAGCAGCUUGCUUCAAGGCUCGUCCAAACACCGUCAUCUCCCAGGAGCCCUUCGUUCCUAAGAUAGAGAAAAAAUCCCUUACUGGUAAUAUUUCAUGGGUUCUUAGGGGAUUGGGGCAGAAUUGCCAGACUUCCUGGGACUCAGUUGUGUCAGUACCAUACUGUGUUAAUCAGAAGCAUUUGCCCAUAGAGGAUCUAGAGUUUUCUCCCUCUAGAUCUUUGUUGAAUCCAGCAGCCAUGUUGAUUUGUAGAAUAUGUUGGGGUCAGAUUCACAGAAUGAGAGCUUGGGCAGAGGCAGCUGGCAUUUCAACAGUUAUACUUUCUCCUGCCCAGAGAGGAGCAAGUACGUAAGUGAGGGAGGGAGAGCCAGGACCUCUUUCUGGAGUCCGCUGAAGCAAGUCUUAGGUAGAAAACAUUUGAUUCCUUAAGCACUGGGGAGCAUGUCAGAAAAGUGGGAUUCUUCUAAAUCUGUCUCAAAUACUGUGUAGUGGUUGUUUUUUUUUGUUUGUUUGUUUUUUUAAUAGGGCUGCACCCGUGGCAUAUGGAAAUUCCCAGGCUAGGGGUCCAAUCGAAGCUGUACCCACCAGCCUACACCACAGCCACAGCAAUGCUGGAUCCUUAACACACUGAGUGAGGCCAGGGAUCAGACCCCGUCCUUAUGGAUGCUAGUUGGUUUUUUAUAGCUGAGCCAUGAUGGGAACUCCUCACUAUGUAGUUUUUGAGCAAGCCACUUCAUCUCUGUGCAUCUUGCUUUUCUCCUAAUUAAAUGAUUUCUAAGGGCCCUUCCAACUCUUAAAAUGUUAGGACUUUUGUACAUGGUUCACACUGCCUUUCUCCUUGUUGGGCUUCCUUCGUUCAGAGCUCAGCCUUUCUGUCGCCUUGCAUGUCUGUGCCACUUGCUGGAUCUAUGGCGCUAGGUUUAUGCGAGUCCUUGUGCACCAAUAUUCUCUCUGUCUCUGCUCAGAGGGCCUUUCUGGUUCUCUAGUCCAGGAAACUUUUCAGCUGGCCACUGAGAAGAGAGCCAGGGAGCGGCAGGAGCUGGAGAAGAGAAUGGCUGAGGUGGAAGCCCAGAAAGCUCAGCAGCUGGAGGAGGCCAGGCAACAGGAAGAGGAGCAGCAGAGGCAGGAACUGGCCAGGCUACGGAAAGAAUUGGUGCACAAGGCAAAUCCAAUACGCAAGUACCAGAGUGUGGAGGUCAAGUCAAGUGACCAGCCACUGACCAUGCCUGUAUCGCCCAAGUUUUCCACUCGAUUCCACUGCUGAACUUAGCUGCGAGCUGAUGCCACUUGGGAACCGGAGCUGCUCCUUCCAUCAAACCAGGAGGCUUCUUUGUCACGGGGGCGUGGAGAGAACCCAUUUCUCCAGGCUUUUCCCUACCCAUGACCCACAGAGUAUGCCGGACAAGUGUGGACUCCAGUUUCAUUGAAACUUGUUUUUCCUGUGUUAUUGUGGCUAAUAGUGAGACUCACCUUAUGUAUGUCUCAGCCGGACUCCGUGUAGUCAUUUCCUUUCAACCGUCAGUUGCCCUUUAAUAUGGGUCUUAACUCUGACUAGAAUUUAAAGCCCUUGCAUUAGUACAGUGUAAUUUCUAUUGCCCUUGCCCCUCCCCCCUUUCCUAUUUUAAUCAGAAAAUAAAGAUAGUUAAAUACUGAGAUAGGAUUUAUUAAGUCAUGGAUUAAAUGAAGAGCCAUCAGUAGUAUGUCAGAUUCUUUCCUCUUGUCUGUGCAAGAUGAAUUUAGAGCUAAAGAGCCCUUCUUUAUGAGGGAGGAAUCCUCGUAAACUGCCAGAUGAGGCAGACUUACUGGAGGAACCUCACGGCGGCCAUCGGUGGCUUCAGGCAGAGCCGCUGUGCAGGCUUGUUCUUCUCUUAUUGGUGCUGAUGAUAACAGGGAAUGCUGAGCAGUGCACUUUGAAGUCCUCCAGUGACCUGGACUGGAAUAAAUAGGUUUGUCUUC